Molecule: ribosomal RNA, 388 nt
Filed under: uncultured microorganism
Description: bacterial SSU rRNA
Rfam family: Archaeal small subunit ribosomal RNA
Source: RNAcentral
GCGCACCAGGCGCGAAUACUCCGCAAUGCACGAAGUGUGACGGGUCAACCCGAGUGCCAACUCAAAGUUGGCUUUCACCGGUGUAAGCAGCCGGUGGAAUAAGGGAGGGCAAGGCUGGUGCCAGCCGCCGCGGUAAACCAGCUCCUCGAGUAGUCAAGACGUUUAUUGGGCCUAAAGCGUCCGUAGCCGGUCCAGUAAGUCUCUGGUCAAAUCUAACGGCUCAACCGUUAGACCGCUAGAGAUACUGCUGGACUCGGAGGCGGGAGAGGCCGAGGGUACUCUCAGGGUAGGGGUGAAAUCCGAUAAUCCUGAGGGGACCACCAGUGGCGAAGGCGCUCGGCUGGAACGCGCUCGACGGUGAGGGACGAAAGCCAGGAGAGCGAACCGG